This is an RNA transcript of Magnolia sinica, 5066 nucleotides long. It is a transcript of the gene named protein PLASTID MOVEMENT IMPAIRED 1-RELATED 1, with no coding region annotated. The record is from RefSeq and is a predicted model, not a curated record. The transcript has 5 exons. Lineage: Eukaryota; Viridiplantae; Streptophyta; Magnoliopsida; Magnoliales; Magnoliaceae.
AAAGCUAAAACGCCGUUAAGUAUACUCCGCAAAGCCUCCCUUCUCUCUGCCUCUCUCUCUCUCUCUCUCUCUCUCUGACGCAAUUUCAUUUCAAAUGGCGACGGCACCGAUGAUGCAUCCGAUGCUCUUUUCAUCUGGUUUUCUUCUUCUUCUCUCUCUCAUUCAUCGAAGCUAAUCUUGGUAAACAAUCUUCCUUUAUUCCAAGCUAAUCUAUCCAUCUUUCAAUUAAAAAAGAAAAGGAAAAAAAAAAAAAGAAGAUGUUGGCGAAAACCGAAUCAGUGAAUAAGAAGAAAAACAGGCUUAUGAUAUCUCCUUCUUCCGAUCCUGGAAACGGUCGAUUACUGCACGAGAUCGAGGCUCUCAGCAAAGCCCUCUACCUCAACAAAAACCCCUCUCCGAAAAAAACUCUCCUUGACAAACAGCGCUCCAUUUCUGCCGGCAAAUCCCAUUUCCUUGGUCCUCCCAAGUCAUCCUCUUCCAAUAAAGCUUCUAGAAUCUUCAGAGACAAUCCCCCUUCUCACAAGGACAAGGACAAAGACAAAGACAAAGACAAAGACAAGAAAUCCUUCUGGAAUUGGAAACCCUUGAAAGCCCUGUCUCACAUCCGCCACCGCCGCUUCGACUGCCUCUUCUCCCUCCAGGUCCACUCCAUCGAUUCCCUCCCACCAGAUUUCAACAACCUCGACCUCAUCGUGCAUUGGAGGAGCCGCAGCGGUGGGCUGGAGACCCAUCCCGCUAGGGUUUUCCAUGGCAUCGCUGAUUUUGAAGAGAUCCUGACGCAAAAGUGCACGGUCUAUGGGAGUGGGAAUGGGUCCCACCAUUCUGCCAAGUAUGAUGCGAAGCAUUUUUUGGUCUACGCUUCCUUGGUUGGUGCCCCUGAUCUUGAUCUGGGGAAGCACCGGAUAGAUCUCACGCGGUUGCUUCCUCUCACUCUGGAGGAAUUGGAGGAAGAGAAGAGCUCUGGGAAAUGGUCAACUAGCUACAAGCUCUCUGGGAAGGCCAAAGGGGCGGUCUUGAAUGUGAGUUUUGGCUUCUUGGUUCUAGGGGAUGAUUCUGUUGAAUCCGGCACGACUAGGAAUGUGGUUCCCAAGAAUUCAAAUUCGAAGCAGGGUCAGAUUGAUUCAACAAAGUCUGCAGUUGGUCCCAACAGGGGCUCGCUUCGGCGUGUCGGGAGCCUUCAGGGUGGGACGCAUGUGUCUCAUGAUCGGUCUCAUGCCCCAUCUCGGUCCGUGGAAGAUGUCAGGAUCCUUCAUGAAGUUUUGCCUAGCUCAAGGUCGGAGGCAUCGAGCUUGGCUGGUUUCGAACGGGCGCUGACAUAUCGGAGUUUCGAUGAGGGGGAGUUUUUUGGUCUGGUUUCAUCUAAGCCCGAGUUUGAGGCAUUCUCAGGACACAAACUGAAGCCAUCAAAUGAUUUAGUGGAGUCUGCCAAAGAGAGUUGCGAAAGCAUGUGUGAUGAUUCUGAGUUCACUGUUAUUGAGCAGGGUAUAGAGAUUGCUUCAAAGGAUCAGGUGAAGCUGGAAGAGGAUACGAAGGCUGCUGAUGAUGUUUUUGCAGUAGAAAAUGUCAAGAUCAAUGAACUUAGUAUGGGCAGUAGUGAAGCUGUGGUAGUAGAGGGUAUGAUGCCUGAUCUGCGGGACAUGGCCCAUAAAAGUUACAAAGGAGAAUCCCUGAUUGAUGGUCAUGAUUCCAGUGAGGACAACUUGUUAACCAGAGAAUUGGUCAUGGAGGAACUGGACUCCGCUUUCCGUAGUCUUUCGAUUCUUGAGGUUGAUGGAUUGGAUUCUCCCCAAUCUCCAAACAAGGGUCCCGUGCAAGAGAAUGACACAGAGGUGAAAUCAAAUUAUAAGAAGGUUAAGGCAGGUAGCUUGGAUGACGUUACAGAGACAGUUGCCAGUGAGUUCUUGAGCAUGCUUGGUAUAGAGCAUAGCCCUUUUGGCUUGAGUUCUGAUAGCGAUCCGGAAUCCCCAAGAGGGCGCCUGUGGAGACAGUUUGAGAAAGAGUCUCUCGCUGGAGGUAGUGGCAUCUUCGGUCUUGAUACUUGCAUGGGAAUGGAGGCAGUACCCGUUGAUGAUUCCACAGUUCAGUUCGAUUUGGGUGACUUGUCUGAGGAUUUUGAGCUGUCCUCGAUCAUUCAUGCUGCUGAGACAGAGCAUCAGAAAGCCGCCCAGGCAAUGAAAAGUAAAACGAGAGCCAAAAUGCUGGAAGAUGCGGAGGCAGAAGCUUUAAUGCAAGAGUGGGGCUUGAAUGAGAAGGCAUUUCAGAGAUCUCCGCCUGACAGUGCCAGUGGAUUUGGUAGCCCAAUUGAUCUCCCCCUUGAAGAGGUGUUUGAUUUGCCUCCUCUUUGUGAGGGGCUUGGCCCAUUUAUUCAGACAAAGGAUGGGGGAUUUCUGCGGUCAAUGAAUCCGUCCCUCUUUAGGAAUUCUAGGAGCAAUGGAAGCUUGAUCAUGCAGGUCUCUAGUCCUGUUGUGGUCCCCGCAGAAAUGGGUUCAGGGGUAAUGGAAAUAUUACAGCAUCUGGCCUCUGUUGGAAUUGAAAAGCUUUCGAUGCAGGCAAGUAAGCUGAUGCCUUUGGAAGAUAUCACUGGGAAGACGAUGCAACAGGUAGCAGGGGAAGCUGCACCCGCUCUAGAGGCACAAGAGAGACAGGAUUCAUCGAAGCAUCUAAAACCAGCAGGGCUGUCAGAGGUUGGACAAGAUGCAGUUGGUGGAAGAAAGAAAGGCAAAGGAUCAUUAGGGCAUGGGUUGGAUUUGAGUUCAUCACAAACAGGUUCUGAAUAUGUUUCACUGGAAGAUCUUGCUCCAUUGGCAAUGGAUAAAAUUGAGGCUCUCUCAAUAGAGGGUUUGAGAAUACAGUCUGGCAUGUCGGAUGGGGAGGCGCCUACAAAUAUCAGCCCUCAAUCCAUUGGGGAGAUUUCAGCUCUGGCUGGAACGAGGGCCAAGAGCAGCAGGUCUCUUGGUUUGGAAGGUGCAGCUGGAUUGCAGCUUUUGGACAUUAAAGACAGCAGUGAUGAUGUUGAUGGAUUGAUGGGCCUUUCAAUUACAUUGGAUGAGUGGAUGAGACUGGAUGCGGGAAUAGUUGAUGAAGAAGAACAAAACAACAGCCGGACAUCAAAGAUUCUUGCGGCCCACCGUGCUAGUUGCACAGACUUGGUUAAUGGAGGUUGGCAAGGAGAUAAGAGAGGGGGUAAAAAUUCUGGUAGGAGGUGCGGUUUAUUGGGAAACAACUUUACAGUAGCACUAAUGGUGCAGCUUCGGGAUCCCUUACGUAACUACGAGCCGGUUGGCACCCCCAUGCUCUCCCUCAUUCAAGUGGAGCGGGUCUUUAUCCCUCCAAAGCCCAAAAUAUAUGUCAGUGUCUCAGAUAAGGGAAACAGUGAAGAACCUGAUGAGCCUGAACUGGUAAUAAAAGAGGAGAAGAAAGAAGAAGAAGAAGUCGAAGCCGAAGUCAUACCUCAGUUUAAAAUCACUGAAGUCCAUGUUGCCGGUCUGACGACUGAACCUAGCAAGAAAAAGUUAUGGGGUACCACGACGCAGCAACAAUCUGGUUCGCGGUGGUUGCUUGCCAGUGGGAUGGGGAAGAGCAACAAGCACCCGUUUAUGAAGUCGAAGACAGUUUCAAAGCCUGCCCAAGCAACCACGACAGUGCAGCCUGGGGAAACCCUGUGGAGCAUUUCAUCUCGUGUUCAUGGCACUGGAGCCAAAUGGAAGGAAUUAGCAGCUUUGAAUCCUCAUAUACGGAAUCCUAAUGUUAUUUUCCCGAAUGAAAAGAUCCGGUUGCGUUGAGCAUUCUACAGGCUUUCAAUAGGAACACAGCACAACCCUUUAUGGGGUUGGACAUCAUCACUGCCUUGCUGUCUGCGGAGCUAGGUAGAGUUAAAGUCAGUGAAAAAGAAUCUAGCCACAUGGUGGGAUCAGGAACUGGUUGUAGAUAUAUCUGGUUUAGGAGCUGAUGCAUUGCUGGGCAAUAUCCACACAUUUAAACUUGGAAUGAAUGUAUUAUUCCACUGUAGGGGCUCCUGUGUUUGGAGACCCUGCUUCAGAUCUUUCAUGGACGAGGAUUCAUUCCACCCUGAAUGGAUUAUACGGUCUGCUCCAGAUAUACAAGCAUUUACCGUACCUCCAGGUAAUGCCUUCUGUUGCAUCAGCUGUAUCAUGGAUGAGGAUCCUUCUAAUUGUACUGAUGCUUUAUGUCUGUUUCAGAAGACAUAGAUAGGUUUGGUUUAGGAGCUGAUGCAUUGCUGGGCAACCUUUCAUCUGUCGUUUUGCUCCACAUUUAGUCUUGGAAUGAAUGGAUUAUUUUGCUGCACCAGGGCUCCUGGGGUGAGUGUGAAGCUAAAAAUCUUGACUGUUGUAUAGUUUGCUUUCUUUGGCUGCAAAUAAUGCACACUUGCUUUCCUUAGUUGCUUCACAUUUCGAUCUUUGUUUGUAUUAAGGUUCUAUUAGGAUGCAUUCAGUUUCUGUGCCUGUCAUGGGAAUGCAUGUAAUUUUAGUUGCAAUGUGGUGUUGUCUCUGUCGAGGGGCAAUGCUUUUCACACUGCUGGAGAUGGGUUUUUGCCCAUGUUGUUGCUGGAAUUUGCAUUAUCAUCAUUUGAUUAUUACAUCAGUGCUGUGGAUGGUUGAUACGGUUUGGAGCCCCUGCAUCAGAUCUUUCAUGGAUGAGGAUUCAUUCCACCCCAGAUGGAUCAUAUGGUAUCUUCCAGAUAUACAAGUGGUUACUGUACCUCCAGGGUUGUUUCUGUCAAGGAGCAAUGCUUUUCACACCGCUGGAGAUGGGUUUUUGUUGGAAUUUGUGUCAUCAUCAUACUCAUGUGAUUAUUACAUUGGUGAUGUGGACCUGUGGUGGUUUACAUGGUUUCGAGCACCUGCAUCAGAUCCUUCAUGCACGAGGAUUCAUUCCACCCUGAAUGGUUCAACAGUCUCCUCCAGACAUACAAGUAUUCACCCAACCUUCAGGUAUGCCUUCUGUUGCAUCAGAUCUUGCAUGGAUGAGGAUCAUUCCUGGAGCUGUGUAAUUUGUUUCAGAGGAGGGAGUUUAUUCCUGAUUAAAUGAAUUGAAGAUAUUGAUGC